CAAACAAGCUCAACAUACCGAAGCAAAACAACAAUAUUUUAUUUUAAUAAAUCUGUUCAAUUAGUAUUUUUUAUCCUAAAUAUCUGUCCCUUUUGUAAUGAAGACAAAGUUGCAUUCUAUAUUCAUUCACUAUCCUGUAAAUCUGAGUAACAGUAAAUCUUAUGGAAGAGAGCUUAAAAAGCUCUGUAUUUGGUUAAGACAGUAAUUCUGCCUAAAAAGUGAAGUGGUCUCAAAACAGCAACCAUCAUCUUUUGUGAAAAAUGUUUCAAUUUCCAAGCAGUUCUAAUGUUUCCAUUCAAAAUGGACUCCUUGAUAGGAAGUUAAUGAAAGCAUGUCAUGUGGAAUACCUGGACCACUUUGUAAAGCAUGGAAAGAACAAUAGGAUUAUGUCCUGAAGAUUUUAUAACAGGCAAAACAAGUACUAAAAAAAAAAAAAAAAAAAAAAAAAAAAAAAAAAAAAGAAAGAGAAAGGAAAACAAAAAAGAUCUCUAGCAGUGCAGAGCAGGACAAAGCUGAGCAGCAGUUGGAUUAGUGAAUUUGUUUUUAAAGCACCUCCCUUUUCUGCACUUCCACCCUUGCUGCCUGCCCCACUACCUUGACCUCGUUCCCUUUCCAGUUUCAGAAGAGUCGCCCUCCUCCUUUCCCUCCCGACCUGCAUUCCUCAGUGAUGGCUGGAAUGCACGAUAAAGACAUCAGUAAACCCAGCCAGCUUGCCUAAGAUCGGGAGAUAAGGAGGGUAAUGUUAGCAAAUUAACUGAUUGGUAUAAAACAAAAGAGGGAAAAAAAGUUGUCAGGAAACUGGGAACUUUUGAACUCAUUUAAACAAAGAAGUGGUAGAGGAGCGGGCGUGUCUGUCGCAAGUGCCUACUUCGCAGGAGCCAAGCCAGAGCGCUACGACAGCUAGAUGUAGGGAGCAGAGCUAUCUGAGGAGCAGGAGUCGCUCCGUUCAGAUGGAGCACACAAUGGGACUCUGGUCUGCCACUUCCACCCCUGUACUUAGUAGCCGCAGCUUGCUCCAGCCUGCUAAGGGACAAUGCAACCUCUUUGUGCGCUGCCUUUGUGAUUACACUUUGAAGGGCCCUGGGCUUGUGGAGAAGCUGUGUUAUGCUGAAAAUAAUUGCAGUAGGACUUUCAGGCCAGACUUGGGGCUGGAAAACAACUGUAUAUGAACCAGGCAAACCAAGGAGGGGAGGGUCUGUGAAAGACACCUGCCAAGAGUGUGGUUCUGAGCUGGUCUGUAAAGGAAUAUCAUGACAAAGAUGUAAAAGGUAGUACUAUUGGUGUGAAGAGAUGCAUCUGCUGGAACCUGCCCUGCAAAUGUUUGCUCUGUCUGCAUAAUGGCACCAUGUGCGACAUUCCUUUUAAUGUCUAAUUGAAAAGAUGCACAAGCAUACAAAUUUCUGAAUUCAAAGCAUCACCAUGUCCUGAGGACUGUGAAAACUGAUGAGCAGAGGAAAGUCUGAAGCCACUUUGGGCAGUCUGUGUCUACCUACUUCAUCCCAGCAGGUAAAGAUCAGCUGGCCAUCAGCACAGCUCUGCCAAACUAAAACUCCCAAAGGUUGUGAUGAUAAUUAACUCUAAAAAGUUGCCUUUUCCUUAAAAUACAUGUUUGAAGAAACAAUUAUUUCAGAAUA
Molecule: long non-coding RNA, 1634 nt
Organism: Tympanuchus pallidicinctus (lesser prairie-chicken)
Lineage: Eukaryota; Metazoa; Chordata; Aves; Galliformes; Phasianidae
Exons: 3
Source: RefSeq, a predicted model, not a curated record